Molecule: ribosomal RNA, 497 nt
Filed under: uncultured bacterium
Lineage: Bacteria
Description: partial 16S ribosomal RNA
Rfam family: Bacterial small subunit ribosomal RNA
Source: RNAcentral
GAUGAACGCUGGCGGCGUGCCUAAUACAUGCAAGUCGAGCGAACAGAUGAGGAGCUUGCUCCUCUGACGUUAGCGGCGGACGGGUGAGUAAAACGUGGAUAACCUACCUAUAAGACUGGGAUAACUUCGGGAAACCGGAGCUAAUACCGGAUAAUAUAUUGAACCGCAUGGUUCAAUAGUGAAAGACGGUUUUGCUGUCACUUAUAGAUGGAUCCGCGCCGCAUUAGCUAGUUGGUAAGGUAACGGCUUACCAAGGCAACGAUGCGUAGCCGACCUGAGAGGGUGAUCGGCCACACUGGAACUGAGACACGGUCCAGACUCCUACGGGAGGCAGCAGUAGGGAAUCUUCCGCAAUGGGCGAAAGCCUGACGGAGCAACGCCGCGUGAGUGAUGAAGGUCUUCGGAUCGUAAAACUCUGUUGUUAGGGAAGAACAAAUGUGUAAGUAACUAUGCACGUCUUGACGGUACCUAAUCAGAAAGCCACGGCUAACUACGUG